RNAcentral lists this long non-coding RNA (430 nucleotides) under Homo sapiens (human). RNAcentral describes it as "HSALNT0326955". Lineage: Eukaryota; Metazoa; Chordata; Mammalia; Primates; Hominidae. The record is from RNAcentral.
GAGGAGGCAGGUAGUCAAAAUCACAAAGGUUAAUAAUUUGCCUCCCUAAUUCAUUUGGAAAUACCACUAUCUUUAAAAUUUCUGUAAAUUUUUCACAUAAUUCAAAAUUAUCCUCUGUGGUGAAUUCCUUCAAGCAAGAAUACCUUAAUGUAAAUGAUCACUCUGGUAUUAUGGCAGUCACCUUAUCACCCCCGCAUACUACAUCUGAAACCAGGAAGACGUAGUUAACUCUUCUCACAGUCAAGAUUGGACAGUGAUCCUUCCUCAGAAUUUUGACAGAGCCCUGCUGCAGCCUUCCCAAUACAGACUUCGACUGAACUUAUUUUGCACCUGGGGUGAUUGCCCCAGCCCUGCCACCAGCAGGCUCAAUCUAUUGCUUCUCAACAGUACGAAGUUGGAUGAUGUUUUUCGACCUAACAUGAGAACAUGG